Non-coding RNA from Pelobates cultripes (western spadefoot toad), 590 nucleotides. Lineage: Eukaryota; Metazoa; Chordata; Amphibia; Anura; Pelobatidae. The record is from the annotation of a GenBank genome assembly.
AGGAUGUCAGUGUUUGUGUACACACAGUGUGUAUACAGGGUGCGCACUGUUGUUAGUUAGUGCUGUGAAUACAGUGAGGUUGUCAGUGUUUGUGUACACACAGUGUGUAUACAGGGUGCGCACUGUUGUUAGUUAGUGCUGUGUAUACAGUGAGGAUGUCAGUGUUUGUGUACACACAGUGUGUAUACAGGGUGCACACUGUUGUUAGUUAGUGCUGUGUAUACAGUGAGGAUGUCAGUGUUUGUGUACACACAGUGUGUAUACAGGGUGCGCACUGUUGUUAGUUAGUGCUGUGUAUACAGUGAGGAUGUCAGUGUUUGUGUACACACAGUGUGUAUACAGGAUGCGCACUGUUGUUAGUUAGUGCUGUGUAUACAGUGAGGAUGUCAGUCCCCUCCUUGCUGUGCUCUCUCCUCCCUCCAUAGGGCAGUAUUAGCCAUCUCUCUCUCUCUAUAUCAGACACAGGAUCUGCUUUUCGCAGCCGCCGCCUUGCCGUCAGCUUGCCCGGAGCCUGCUCUCCGCUACCCUUCAGCAGCCAUGACCGAACAGGGCAGCAGCAGCAGCAGCAGCCGAUAUCAGCAGGUAGGAAA